GGGCCGGUAGUUCAGUUGGGAGAACGCCUCGUUCGCAACGAGGAGGUCGGGAGUUCGAAUCUCCUCCGGUCCA
RNAcentral lists this transfer RNA (73 nucleotides) under Candidatus Omnitrophota bacterium. RNAcentral describes it as "Candidatus Omnitrophica bacterium tRNA-Ala". It matches the Rfam family "tRNA". Rfam says of the family: Transfer RNA (tRNA) molecules are approximately 80 nucleotides in length. Lineage: Bacteria; Pseudomonadati; Candidatus Omnitrophota. The record is from RNAcentral.